CGCCCCCUUGUGGUCGGUGUACAGGUGGUGCAUGGCUGUCGUCAGCUCGUGUCGUGAGAUGUUGGGUUAAGUCCCGCAACGAGCGCAACCCUUGUCCCGUGUUGCCAGCAGGCCCUUGUGGUGCUGGGGACUCACGGGAGACCGCCGGGGUCAACUCGGAGGAAGGUGGGGACGACGUCAAGUCAUCAUGCCCCUUAUGUCUUGGGCUGCACACGUGCUACAAUGGCCGGUACAAUGAGCUGCGAUACCGUGAGGUGGAGCGAAUCUCAAAAAGCCGGUCUCAG
This 284-nucleotide ribosomal RNA is filed under the name Streptomyces sp. RNAcentral describes it as "partial 16S ribosomal RNA". It matches the Rfam family "Bacterial small subunit ribosomal RNA", at positions 1013 to 1291 of the family's 1533-position model. Lineage: Bacteria; Bacillati; Actinomycetota; Actinomycetes; Kitasatosporales; Streptomycetaceae. The record is from RNAcentral.